RNAcentral lists this ribosomal RNA (253 nucleotides) under uncultured bacterium. Its description in RNAcentral is "partial 16S ribosomal RNA". It matches the Rfam family "Bacterial small subunit ribosomal RNA", at positions 524 to 776 of the family's 1533-position model. The record is from RNAcentral.
UACAGAGGGUGCAAGCGUUAAUCGGAAUUACUGGGCGUAAAGCGUGCAUAGUCGGCUUUUCAAGUCGGGUGUGAAAGCCCCGGGCUCAACCUGGGAAUUGCAUUCGAUACUGGAUCGCUAGAGUUCGGCAGAGGGAAGUGGAAUUUCUGGUGUAGCGGUGAAAUGCGUAGAUAUCAGAAGGAACAUCAGUGGCGAAAGCGACUUCCUGGACCAGAACUGACGAUCAGGCACGAAAGCGUGGGGAGCAAACAGG